Molecule: transfer RNA, 77 nt
Filed under: Butyrivibrio sp.
Lineage: Bacteria; Bacillati; Bacillota; Clostridia; Lachnospirales; Lachnospiraceae
Also listed under: 3 other names
Description: tRNA-His
Rfam family: tRNA
About the family: Transfer RNA (tRNA) molecules are approximately 80 nucleotides in length.
Source: RNAcentral
GUGGCUAUGGCGCAGUUGGUUAGCGCGCCAGAUUGUGGUUCUGGAGACCGUGGGUUCGAGUCCCACUAGCCACCCUA